UCUUGCUUUUGACCCUGGCCCUCAACUUUUUUGCUUUUAGUCCGGGCCUCUUCAAUGUUCAGGAAUAGGCCCAGGCACAUAUCGCUUCUUUCUUUAGUCCCGGGCCUCUUCAGACUUCAGGGAUAGGACCAGGCACUUUAACUUCUUUCUUUCGGCCUGGGCCUCUUCAUAUGUCAGGGAUAGGCCCAAGCCCACAUCACUUCUUCCUUUUGGCCAGGGCCAUUUCAUAGGUCAGGGUGAGGGCCAGGCCCACAUCACUUCUUUGUUUUGGUUAGAGCCACAUCAAAGUUCAGGAAUAGGCCCAGGCUCUCAUAACUUCUUGCUUUUAGCCUGGGCCUCUUCAAGGGUCAGGCAUAGGCCCAGGCCCUCUUUAUAUCUUGUACUGGUCCCAGGCCUCUUUAAAUUUCAGGGAUAGGCUCAGGCCAACAUCACUUCUUGCUUUUGACCCGGGCUUCUUCAUGGGUCAGCAAUCAGCAAGACCUACAGCACUUUUUGCUUUUGGCCUGGGCCUCUUCAUGGGUCAGGAAUAAGCCCAGGCUCUCUUCAUGUCUUGCAUUGGACCCAGGCCUCUUUAAAUUUUAGGGAUAGGCCCAAGCCAAGAUCACAUUUUGCUUUUAUCUGGGGACUCUUCUAGGGUCAAGGAUAGGCCCAGACCAACAUCACUUCUUCCUUUUGGCCUGGGCCUCUUAAUAUAUCAGGGAUAGCCCCAGGCACACAUCACGUAUUGCUUUUGGCCCAGGCCCUCAUUUUUUUGGUUUUUGUCUGGGAUUCUUCAAUGUUCAGGAGUAAUCCUAGGCACAUAUCACUUCUUUCUUUAGGACUGGGCCUUUUCAAGGGUCAGGGAUAGGCCUAGGCACAUAUCACUCUUUGCUUUAGGCCUGGGCUUCUUCAAACUUCAGGGAUAGGCCUAGGCACCUAUUACUUCUUGCUUUAGGCCUGGGCCUCUUCAAGGGUCGGGGAUAGUCCAAUGCCCACAUCACUUCUUCCAUUUGUCCCAAGGCUCUUCAAGGGUCAGGCAUAGGCCCAGGCCCUCUUCACUUCUUGUGUUGGGCACAGGCCUCGUUAAAUGUCAUGGAUAGGCCCAGGCCCGCAUCACUUCUUUCUUUAGGCCCAGUCCUCUUCAAACUCCAGGAAUAGGCCCAGGCCCCCAUCACUUCUUUCUUUUGGCCCAGACUUACAUCUAUUUUGCCUUUGGUCCGGGCCUCUUCAAAGUCCAGGGAUAGGCCCAGGCCCAUAUCACUUCUUGCUUUUGUUCCUAGCCCUUAUCUUUUUUUGCUUUUGGUCUGGGCCACUCAAUGUUCAGGAAUAAGCCUGGGUACACAUCAUUUCUUUCUUUAGGACUGGGUAUCUUCAAAGUUCAGGGAUAGGCCCAGGCACACAUCACUUCUUCCUUUUGUCCCAAGGCUCUUCUAGGG
RNAcentral lists this long non-coding RNA (1415 nucleotides) under Mus spicilegus (steppe mouse). RNAcentral's name for it is "lncRNA (ENSMSIG00000002797.1)". The record is from RNAcentral. Lineage: Eukaryota; Metazoa; Chordata; Mammalia; Rodentia; Muridae.